CAGGGAGACAACAAAAUGUUAAUAAUUAAUUUUGUCACCUUAGGUCGAUCGGUAUCUCACAUUCUUAAUUUAUUAAGGAUUUUAUUUCCUAAGUUUUUUCUAGGUCACACCCAUUAUUUUCCCUGGGCCAUUAGCUCAGGUGGUUAGAGCGCACCCCUGAUAAGGGUGAGGUCCCUGGUUCAAGUCCAGGAUGGCCCAUAUCUCUAUGUUGGGGGUAUAGCUCAGUUGGUAGAGCGCCUGCCUUGCAAGCAGGAUGUCAGCGGUUCGAGUCCGCUUACCUCCACUGAUUACCACCUCUUCCAUAAUUUAUAGAAGGGAAACUUUUUUAGGUGUGAUCACAUUCUGAACGAAUCUAGCUUCCUAAUCAAACUCAAUUAAGAUGCUGGACUCAUUGAAUUAAUUUCAUUGUUUUCAGAGAACCUUGACAACUGCAUAGAUUAUUUUUAAAGACAAUAAGCAUCUUUAAUGAUGCAGAUUUAUUAUUUGUGCUAAUGCAUUAAAUAACAAUUCUAUUAAGCUGAUGCUUCAAUUUUUGAAGUUAUU
RNAcentral lists this transfer RNA (543 nucleotides) under uncultured cyanobacterium. RNAcentral's name for it is "partial 16S-23S ribosomal RNA intergenic spacer". The stretch from base 211 to 283 matches the Rfam family "tRNA". Lineage: Bacteria; Bacillati; Cyanobacteriota. The record is from RNAcentral.